Molecule: ribosomal RNA, 253 nt
Filed under: uncultured bacterium
Lineage: Bacteria
Description: partial 16S ribosomal RNA
Rfam family: Bacterial small subunit ribosomal RNA
Source: RNAcentral
UACGGGGGGAGCAAGCGUUGUUCGGAUUUACUGGGCGUAAAGGGCGCGUAGGCGGCGCGACAAGUCACUUGUGAAAUCUCCGGGCUCAACUCGGAACGGCCAAGUGAUACUGUCGUGCUAGAGUGCGGAAGGGGCAACUGGAAUUCUCGGUGUAGCGGUGAAAUGCGUAGAUAUCGAGAGGAACACCUGCGGCGAAGGCGGGUUGCUGGGCCGACACUGACGCUGAGGCGCGAAAGCUAGGGGAGCGAACGGG